AACGUAGGACGCGAGCGUUAUCCGGAGUUACUGGGCGUAAAGCGCGCGCAGGCGGAUGCAUAAGUCACCUAUGAAAGGCGCUGGCUAAACUGGCGGAUGUUGGGUGAGACUGUGUGUCUUGAGAGAAACAGAGGGGAGCGGAAUUCCGGGUGUAGUGGUGAAAUGCGUAGAUAUCCGGAGGAACAUCGGUGGCGAAGGCGGCUCUCUGGGUUUCCACUGACGCUGAGGCGCGAAAGCGUGGGUAGCGAACGGG
RNAcentral lists this ribosomal RNA (253 nucleotides) under uncultured bacterium. RNAcentral's name for it is "partial 16S ribosomal RNA". It matches the Rfam family "Bacterial small subunit ribosomal RNA", at positions 524 to 776 of the family's 1533-position model. The record is from RNAcentral.